This is a long non-coding RNA of Cydia pomonella (codling moth), 2658 nucleotides long. RefSeq lists it as uncharacterized. Lineage: Eukaryota; Metazoa; Arthropoda; Insecta; Lepidoptera; Tortricidae. The transcript has 3 exons. The record is from RefSeq and is a predicted model, not a curated record.
AAUGUAAAAUGUAUGUAUAGCAUAAUAAAAUUAAGGAGUGAAAUUGCUCUUGGUAUUUCAUUUCGUUAAUAUUAAAAAAGUAUAAAACUUUCUUUGAUUUCACUGUAGUAUAUUGAUAAAGUUGUAUAUAUCUUAAUAUUCACAAGGUACAACUAUUUUUAUGUCAUUUACAAGCCAGGACGCCAUUAAGUGUAAAUGUGUUUUCAAGCUUUAGUUGGCUCUAAAUAAGUUUUAGAUGGGCAUUUUCUGUCUGUAACCAUAUAAACAAACCAUUUUGUAUAAUUUAGAAUUUACCAACCAUUCUCUGGAUGUAAUUACAACGGAGACAAACAAGCAUACGGCCUGCCUGAUGGUAAACAAUCACCGUAGCCUAUGAAUGCCCGCUACUGCAGAGGUAUAUUACAUGCGCGUUACUGACCCUAAAAUAUAAUCUAAUUUUAUGUUACGACACUUUAAAGUUAAUUUUGAAUACAGCAAUCAAUACUUUCCUCGGUAAAUAGCCUUUGAGUGAGGUAGAUAAAGGAGAAUUUUCUUCAUUGUAAAGCUACCAUAAAUAUCAAGGCUAUAUGUAAUAGUGAUGGGUAGGACAUCAAUUUCAAAUGAGUUUGUAUGAGUACCUCAUUCUCUAAAAUGAGGUGUUACAAUGUCUUACUUCAAAUGAGGAGAGGUACUAGCACUUUUGCAGCAUCGACUAUUCCAUCAACUCCAACGCUGCAAACCAUAUUUAAUGUAAAUACAUAUUUAGGCAUUGCUAAACUUCCUUUUAAAUAUUUAAUUGGAGUGCAAUUCUGGAGGUUUAAAACAGAACUUUAACAACCAUUUAAGAAUCAAACUAAGGAGUUAAAGUACAUACAUCCUAUUGCAACUUAAUUUGAUGCUUUUAUGAAACUUGUUCUAAUUUAGCAGUUUAUUAUUUUUAUUGUUAGAUUAUUCAGUAUCAAUCCUUGCUACUUGAUAUCAUUUUAAGUUUAACAUUCAUAUAUUGAAAUAAAUACUAACCAUAAACUACCAAACAAACAAUUAACAAACUAAGGAGAACAAAUCCAAUAUUUUUUGUACCAUUAUUAUAUAGAUAUUACUAACUUACCACCUCAUAAUUUAUCAGUAAUAAUAGCAUUGUAAUAUGAUAACAAACGAAAGCCUCAAUAACGUUCGCGCGGUAAUGCCACCGGCGUGUAAUAUACACUUGAUUUUUGUAUGCAAAAGACACAAAGAAAGACCCACAGGUAUAUUUUAUCGCGAAAACAAUGUUAAUAUAUUGUUAUUUUGGUAUAAUUAUAAGAAUGGUCACUGAUCACUAUUUAUAAAACACAACUAAAGAUUACGAACAACUUUUUCGAGUUUCUCGUACUAUAAAUAUGUCAAAAUCAUAAAUGAUCGAAAUACUAUACGAAGCACGUUAACAAAAAGUAUUACAAAUUCAAAUCGUUAAAAUGUACAUGGUUAUUUCACCUAUACAAAUUAUAUUUACUUUUUUAUUAAUAAACUAAUGUAAAAUUUCAUAUUUUGUGUACGCCACUAUAUUAUAUUUCAAUAAUUUAAAUAAUAUUUUGGUCUCUUAAACGAUAACUGUUUUUAAGCAAGCUUCGUAAAUGCCCAGUGAGACUUGGUUGGCAUUUCAAUCGCUUAUCAAGUAACCAUUUCACUGUCCAGUCUAAUUGAUUCAGAUUAUACAUGACACCAGCAAUAUGAGUCUUGAGGUCAGGUUAUACUGGUAAGCGCGUUAGUACAAUAAUAGCUAACAAAUAUGGAGGCCUACCGCGAACCACGAAGUUUUGCUUUGCUGUCGCACUUACGUAUGAAAUUACAAGUGCGACAGAGAGAAAAAACUUUCUUCGGUAGGUUCUUUGAUGACUUAGAUUUUUCGCUUUUGACAAGUAACUUAGCAAUGCUAGGAUCAAAAUGGAGUAAUAUGUAUGUAAGCUUGCGGACGCUUACGCUAGUUUUCUUUCGUGUUUCAUUUUUAACGUAUUUUCGAUGAGGUGUUAUUGAAGCACGGCGCGUGUCUGUCUCACUCCCUCUUUUGGUAAAUCUAAUUCAUUGUUUCAUUUUGAAAGGAUUUUUGAGGGAUGUCACAGUGAGGCGAGUGAAUGGUACAAACACUACAAACACAACGCAUUUCUCGGUGGACCUUUUGUCCUUGCAAUAAGGUUUGUAGUUGGGCAGUUGAUAGUGUGAGCGAUAAAUGCGAUGACGUCAAUGACUCAUUUCUUCAUUUGAAUGUCGGCGAGCACCGAGCGCCUCGCGACUCUCUUGCGAGUUGUGAGGAACGCGAGUGAGUUUGAAAGGCUGAGAGUUUUUUUUUUAAAUUUGAAGUGUUUGAAUGGUUUGAGUGGUAAGAGCUGUGUGUGAUGCGCGCGAGUAAAUGAGUAAAAUUAAUUGAGGAGUGAUGUAUGACAUUUAUGCGGUGUGAAGUUCUGCGACAAUUUAGCUAAAUGAGUGGUACAAAUGAGGUGCCUCACGAGUGAGCAACUCAACACUACACAGGAGCCGUCAGAUUUUUGGCGCGAGUCGUAAAUGUGAUGUUUAUUGUUCCGAUGUAGCCCACAAGAUGGCAGAACCUACUAUGCACAAGAAAACACGUGACGUGUGAAUGUACAUGUUUAUGGUUCCGAUUCAGGCCACAAGAUGGCAGACCCUCCAACGCGCACGGUCCCA